GUCGUCCCUCGAUGGAUAUUUGCUUGCCUUUCCGACGCACUGUCGUCCGGGCGGCCGAAUUGUUGGCGAAAUCCCUGUGUCGGUGCGCGGUCGGACGCCGCGUUGCUAUCGCUUGGAUUUCUGCCGGCUCUCACGGAUGCGGUGCCUAUUGCCAGCUCUGCGGGGCUCUGCCCCGCAGACUUCGGGAGGUCCCUCGCGCGCAUCACUGCUCUCAUACGCCGUCUGUCGUGUUGCCGGUGGCKACKCGCAGAUCGUGUUCUGCCGUGCUGUAGUUAACGACGCGCCAGAACAAAGUGUCCGGAGCGUKCUCNGCG
Molecule: unclassified non-coding RNA, 314 nt
Filed under: Carex firmula
Lineage: Eukaryota; Viridiplantae; Streptophyta; Magnoliopsida; Poales; Cyperaceae
Description: partial external transcribed spacer
Source: RNAcentral